UACGGUAGGCAGCGAGCGUUGUUCGGAGUUACUGGGCGUAAAGGGUGUGUAGGCGGUUGUUUAAGUUUGGUGUGAAAUCUCCCGGCUCAACUGGGAGGGUGCGCCGAAUACUGAAUGACUUGGAGUGCGGGAGAGGAGAGUGGAAUUCCUGGUGUAGCGGUGAAAUGCGUAGAUAUCAGGAGGAACACCGGUGGCGAAGGCGGGUCUCUGGGCAGUAACUGACGCUGAGGAGCGAAAGCGUGGGUAGCAAACAGG
This 255-nucleotide ribosomal RNA is filed under the name uncultured bacterium. RNAcentral describes it as "partial 16S ribosomal RNA". It matches the Rfam family "Bacterial small subunit ribosomal RNA", at positions 524 to 776 of the family's 1533-position model. The record is from RNAcentral.